Molecule: ribosomal RNA, 365 nt
Filed under: uncultured bacterium
Lineage: Bacteria
Description: partial 16S ribosomal RNA
Rfam family: Bacterial small subunit ribosomal RNA
Source: RNAcentral
CCUACGGGAGGCAGCAGUGAGGAAUAUUGGUCAAUGGGCGAGAGCCUGAACCAGCCAAGUCGCGUGAGGGAGUACUGCCCUAUGGGUUGUAAACCUCUUUUGUCGGGGAGCAAAAGCCGGACGUGUCCGGCUGUGAGAGGACCCGAAGAAAAAGCAGCGGCGAACUCCGGGGCAGCAGCCGCGGUAAUACGGAGGAUGCGAGCGUUAUCCGGAUUUAUUGGGUUUCAAGGGUGCGGAGGCGGAUUUUUAAGUCAGCGGUCAAAUCUUGGGGGUCAACCCCAGCCAGCCGUUGAAACUGGGGCUCUAGAGUGUGCGAGAGGUCUGCGGAAUGCGUGGUGUAGCGGUGAAAUGCCUAGAUCUCACGC